CUUCUUCUUCUUCUUCUAAUUUGAUCUGUCUAGGGUUUUUCAAUUGCAUACGUUAAUUUCUUUGCCAGCUACAGUAUCAAGUAUUUAGGGCUCAAUUCAGUUAUUUUUUUUUGGGUUAUUGUCAUGCCUUUCAUGAUUUAUGAUUUCUCGUUUUGGAAUUUUAGAACUAUCGAAAAGCUGCCAUUUAUGGUCUCUGUUUUGUUGAAUUCAACAUUUGAAAGUCGCAGGGAGCGCUUUUUUUAUUUUAUUUUUAAUUUUGCUUUUUUCCUCCUUAUUUUUAUGCUUUCUUAAUUGAGCUGAACGAGAUUUAAUAAACUUAUGGUUUAUUAUUUGAUAACUUAGUGAUGUUAUGGGAUCUUAGUUUGUCUUGUUUGCAUUCUUGGUGUUGGAAUUUUGAAUCUCGUUCAUUGUCUUAGUUAUAUCUACCUGGGGUUUUGGUUUGAAUUGUUGAUGUAGAACAAGAACAACAAAGGAUCAAGAGAAACAAAUUCCUAUUGCUUUGCUAGUUUGCAAAGCGGUUAUAGGAGGUGAAAGUGGCAACAUUGCCAUCCAAAUUGGUUAGGAAUUAAGGCGGGUAAUUUAUGGAUAGUUUUGGUUAUGACUGCUAUGAGUACAUGUUUCAAAAUUUUUUAUGACUGCUAUGAGUACAUGUGUCAAAAUUUGCAGAAGUUUAGAAAAUAAAUGAAAUAAAUGUGUUAUUAGUGGAAAGUGAAUAAUAUGGUUUAUGUCUAAAUGGAUUGACUGAGUCUGGACUCAUAGGUAUGCUGCCGGAAGCAGGAAAAACUAAGUUGGGAUUCACUUCCGUAUAGAGAAAAAGACUUUUAGCCAUUAUGGAGAAGUAUUGACAAUGCAAUGGAUAAUUAGAAUACAAAGCAUUUUAAGUUAGCGACGUAGGAGAGAUUUUAUUCUUUGUUAUGUAAUUUGUGAUUACUGAAAGCUUGUGAAAUUUAGCUCACUCUACUUCAAUUGGGUCUCGGUUCCCAUUUGGUGAAUUUAUUGACAUGGGCUAGGUUCCUUAUCCUGAUUACCUUAAGAGUAUGCAGAUAUUCUUAUGUUGAUUGCAUUUUUAUUUAUUUAUUUAUUUUUUACUGUGAAUAUUGUUAGAUACCAUCUUUCUAGUGUUUGGACUUGCCCAACUCUGUUUAUGUUACCUAUGAAGAGCAUGAUGGUUUGUCGCUUGAUAAAACAUUCUAUUAAUUUAGGCUGGGUUCUGGCAACUCAGUAAAUAUCCUAUCUGCUGUCCUGUUUCCUUUAUUUUUUUUCCCCCUUUUGAGGGGAGGAACAAAUAUGACUAGUUGAAAGGAUUUUUUGGAAACAAAAUUCAAGUCGAGGAUUGUUGGUACCAGAAAAUGAGAAUCCAGGAUUUCUUUUUGCCCUGGUAGCUGCAUAUAUGAACACGUUGGAGAAUUGAGUUGUUUCAUGCAGAUAUAUGAGGUCCAUACGAGAGGUGAUUUUAUAUAAUAUAAUUACUAAUCAAUAGAUUAUAAUGGCGCACUCAAUAAAGUCCAUCUAAUAUGGAUGGAUAUGAGCAGGACAAAUAUAAGUUUAACUAAACUGAGAAGACAAAUUAAUAUUAAUUUAUGAAUUAAAUUUUCCUUUUGUUGAUAAUGCAAAUCAUUAACACAGAAAAAGCUGUGCUUGGACUUUUUAAGUUCCUAGCAACUUUAACUUGUGAUCAGAUGUAAGAUUGUUGCAAGUGCAGAAACUUGAUAAGUGGAAGACAUUUUCAAUGAAGAGCCAACAUGUCAGUAAUUGAGAAAUUACUUUUCUGCUGUCCCCUUUGAUCUAAGUUUUGUGUGUGUGUGACAGAUUUGAGAGACAUCUACUUGUUGAAAAGAUGGUCUUAAGCGAAAAAAUACCAGAAUUUAAGGGGAGAAAAAGGGGAAAAAAAAAAAAACCCUGUAUUGGUCUCAUCAAUAUGAGAUCUUGGGAAGGAAGCAAGGCUGUUGUGCAGUUAUAAUCUAAAGUUAGUCUUGCAAUUUAGUCUUGCCCUUUAGUGUUCAAAUCUAUUACCUCUUGAUUAUGAACUCAGGACUUCUACUAUUGCACAAGACAAUCAUAUUUAUCUGAUAUUAGCGAAGGAAUUUAAUUCAUAGCAUUCAUUUUCCAGGCAUGAAAUAUUAGCUAUUAUUGCCAGACUUAGAUGAGAUGUUAGUUAUUAUUGCCAGACUUAGAUGGAUGAGAACUUUCUACCUUCUCUGCUUUAAAGGACAUCAGAAAGGAUUGUUGUCAAAUUAUGUAUUGAAGUCUGAAGGUUUCCUUGCUGAUGUUUCAUAGUGGCAAAAGUAUACUUACUAUUUUUUCUAAAGAUUUUGGUAUUAGUAUUUAAUCUUCCAUCCAACGUUAAAUAUUAGAACUUUCUGAUAUGUUUAUCUAAAGGUUUGGUUCUGUACAGGGUACCUCUGGCUGAAAGCAUCAAUUCCGAAGAAUUUAAUAAGUUGUAUCAUGGUUUUCAAAGAGGUUUUUCUUUGUUUUCAUAGUAUUGAGGAUCAUUAAUGUGAGAGAUUAUUUUGGUGUUUCAAAUAACAAGUUUUUUUUUGUGACAAGGUGUGAUGGAAAUAUCAGUUUUGAAAGCACUUCUGAAUAACAUCUCCUCUUUUUUAUGUUUAUCAACCAUUGAGAACUUAAGCUCGGACCUGGUUCAGAAGUAUUGCCAGAAGGCAGAAGAGAUAUUGAAGCUGUUGAAGCCAAUACUUGAUGCUGUUGUUGAUUCUGAAAUAGCUUCUGAUGAAGUGCUUAAUAAGGCAUUUCAUGAAUUGGGCCAGUCUGUUGAUGAACUGAGGGAACUCUUUGAAAACUGGCAACCAUUGUCGAGUAAAGUUUAUUUUGUUCUGCAAACUGAAUCAUUAAUAUCAAAGAUCAGGACUUUGGGUCUGGAUAUGUUUCAGCUGUUGAAGUCUUCCCAUGAACAUUUCCCUGAUGAAUUAAGUUCAUCAUCUCUUGAGUACUGCACACAAAAAAUUAAGCAAAUGGGAUAUGAACAAACAUCAUCUGUUGUUAGAGAAGCCAUAAGGGACCAAGUGGAGAGUGGUGAACCUAGCUCAGAGAUUCUGGUGAAAAUUGUAGAGUGCUUAAGCUUGAGGUCCAAUCAGGAUGUUCUGAUUGAAGCAGUGGCCCUCGAGAAGUUGAAGGAGAAUGCUGAGCAAGCUGAAAACACUAGGGAAGCUGAGUUAUUCGAUCAAAUGAUUUCUCUUGUGACUCGCAUGCAUGAACGUCUUGUUCUGAUAAAACAGUCUCAGACCAGCAGCCCAGUCCCAAUACCAGCUGAUUUUUGCUGCCCUCUCUCUCUUGAGUUGAUGACUGAUCCAGUGAUUGUGGCAUCUGGGCAAACCUAUGAGCGAGCGUUCAUUAAAAACUGGAUUGAACAUGGGCUCACUGUGUGUCCCAAGACACGACAGACUCUUGCUCACACCAAUCUGAUACCUAAUUACACUGUAAAGGCUCUCAUUGCAAAUUGGUGUGAGUCCAACAAUGUGAAGCUGCCUGAUCCUGUGAAGUCUGUGGGCUUCAAUCAGCCCUCACCACUUCUUGUACAUGCAGAGUCUGGUGGCAUGCCCAGGGAUUCACAUGUUUUUCCUCAAUCCAGGGGCAACCAACCCAUGUCACCUGAGUCAACUCGGUCUACCGGUUCUCCUGGAAGGAAUUGGAUCUCUUCUAGUAGAAUUCAUCAAGAGGGAUCUUCUCCACUUCAUCCUUGUUCUACAUCCGAGGGUUCCUUAUCAGGUAUAGUAGGAAAUGAACUGGGUAUGGACAUGAUGAGAAUAUCACGAAUGAGUUCUGAGGAAAGGUCUGCUAACUUGGAUGAAAGGAGCAUGGAUUCAGUUGUCAACCACCCUGUAUCACCUCCUAGAAAGGAAGUUCCGAAUGGUGUUAGAGCUGAUGAACAUAUGACUCAGAGCCACAGUAGAAAUGCCUCAGCCUCCAGUGUUGCUAAUGCAAAUUUUUCUCAAGGAGUUCAUGCAGAUGCUAAUGAGUGUUCAGAGAUGUCAAACCAUCUUACUUCCUAUAGCAGUGAUACUUCAGGGGAGGUAAAAGCAGAGCCACAGGCUUCUACUACUUUGAACGCCCCUCACAGAGAACCUGAGUUCCCACUCCGUUUGGUUGAGACACGGUCUCGAAGUCAAACUUUCUGGCGGCGGCCGUCAGAUAGGCUUGUUCCAAGGAUAGUUUCUUCUCCUGCUAUGGAAACGAGGGCUGAUCUUUCUGGUGUUGAAACCAAAGUUCGAAAGCUGAUUGAGGACUUGAAAUGUGAUUCAGUUGAUACUCAAAGAGAGGCAACAGCUGACCUCAGGCUACUUGCCAAACACAACAUGGACAAUAGGAUUGUUAUAGCAAGCUGUGGGGCCAUUAACUUGUUAGUUAACUUUCUUCGAUCAACUGACAUAAUGAUUCAGGAAAAUGCUGUCACAGCACUCCUUAACUUGUCAAUUAAUGAUAACAACAAAACAGCAAUUGCUAAUGCAGAUGCUAUUGAACCUCUGAUUCAUGUACUAGACACAGGAAGUCCAGAGGCCAAGGAGAAUUCAGCUGCUACUCUCUUUAGCCUAUCAGUGAUUGAGGAUAACAAGGUCAGGAUAGGACGGUCUGGGGCUGUUAGACCUCUGGUUGAUUUGUUGGGGAAUGGAACUCCCAGGGGAAAGAAGGAUGCAGCCACAGCUUUGUUUAAUUUGUCAAUAUUUCAUGAAAACAAAGCCCGGAUUGUGCAAGCUGGUGCUGUUAAGCACCUUGUCGAGUUGAUGGACCCAGCAGCUGGGAUGGUUGACAAGGCAGUUGCUGUUUUGGCUAAUCUUGCAACAAUUGCUGAGGGAAGGACUGCAAUUGGUCAAGAGGGUGGGAUCCCUGUUCUGGUUGAGGUUGUUGAGUUGGGUUCUGCAAGAGGGAAGGAAAAUGCAGCUGCUGCACUUUUGCAGCUUUGCACGAACAGUAGUAGGUUUUGCAACAUGGUGCUUCAAGAAGGUGCUGUACCACCAUUAGUGGCUUUAUCACAGUCUGGCACCCCAAGAGCUAAAGAAAAGGCUCAGGCAUUACUUCAAUACUUCAGAAACCAACGACAUGGUAAUGCUAGGAGCUGAUUUGUUUUUAGACCAACCAUUCAGUGCCAAUUGAGUUUUUGAUUUGAGUUCUAUACAUAGUGUGUACAUUUGAUGUUGAAAAUAAUGCAUAUUAAGGUUUUGCUGCUUUGAUUUUACAUAAUUUGUAGAGGAAAAUUGAUUUAUAGAGAAUGUGAUUCAUUCCUUUUGUGAAAAUCCUUUUUACAAUUAAAAAAAAAAAUCUUGAGUUUGGUCUUUUCAGAGAGCUUGACAGAAGGCGAGUAUUUUGGUGCUGUUGUGCCUUAUUUAUGUCUCGUUUCUAAGCAUGUCUUCGUUCUAUUAGAUAUAUUCAGACUUUUGUUUUUAGUGCCUGCAAUUGUGGUAAAAUUUCUAUCCAGUUUUCAGAACCAUUGGCGAUGGAUUUUCAUUCAGUUAUACCAGUCUUGUAGCCAAACGCACUCUAAAUUGCAGUAAAGUUCAACCUGCAAACUACAGUUCGGUCCUUGCCCAUUGUAGGCGUUAGAGCAUUGAUGCAGACGGGGGUGUAUGUUUUCUUCACUUCCCACUACGCGUCGGGGUUUGCGUCUUCAAUUUCCAGCAACACAUGCUGCCAUCAUGUUUGGGAUUUCUGCUGAACUCACGAAUCCGGUUCGACUGAUUGAAUAAGAAAUGGGAUAGUAAUCUGGUCUGAUUUAAUAUCAUUUGUUGACUUACCUGAAAAUCGGUCAAAACCGGAUUGACUAUGCAAACGAUAUGAUAUGAAUCGGACAGACCAGGCAAAAUCAGGUUCUAUUAAUACGGUACCGUUGUUUAGGGAAAUUAAAAGGAGAAGACGCAUCUCUCCAUCUGCAGAAAGCCAGAAACACGUUUUUGCACUUCUCCUAAACUCCCAAAUCCCCCUUCCCUCCUUCCUAAUCAAGCUUUUCCUUUUCCCAAUCAUCGUUCAAUGAUUCUUCGCAACGGCGACAACAUGAUGACCGAAGACAUUGAAUCUCAGAUGUAAAUCGAUUCGGUCCUGGCUUGAACUGCCCAAGUGACAGACCAACACAAUAUCACUGGGUCUCUCUCCCAUAUCUCAGUUCUCUCAUCCUCCUGUGAAUGUCGUCAGCGAUACUUUGAAUCUCUGGUGUUUCUAAGGUGUUUACUUUUUUGUUUUUGUUUUUCUUUGAUUGUAUAAAUAUUAUCAUAUAAUUAGCAAAUUAUGGACUUUUGGUGGAGGUCUCUGUUAAUUUGAGCUUAUCUUGCUUUUUAAGAGUCUUUUUUUUU
Molecule: RNA transcript, 6296 nt
Organism: Hevea brasiliensis (rubber tree)
Lineage: Eukaryota; Viridiplantae; Streptophyta; Magnoliopsida; Malpighiales; Euphorbiaceae
Gene name: U-box domain-containing protein 4
Exons: 6
Source: RefSeq, a predicted model, not a curated record